Molecule: ribosomal RNA, 1603 nt
Filed under: Charadrius vociferus (killdeer)
Lineage: Eukaryota; Metazoa; Chordata; Aves; Charadriiformes; Charadriidae
Description: 16S ribosomal RNA
Rfam family: Bacterial large subunit ribosomal RNA (bases 88-1525)
Source: RNAcentral
AAGCUUACUCUAGCCCGACCACACAAAUCAGAAGAAAGCGUAAAAACCCACUAUUACCACUAAACCAAAACAUUUUCACUAAACCUAGUAUAGGCGAUAGAAAGGAUUACACCCGGCGCAAUAGAAAGUCGUACCGUAAGGGAAAGAUGAAAUAAUAAUGAAAAACAAAGCAACAAACAGCAAAGAUAAGCCCUUGUACCUCUUGCAUCAUGAUUUAGCAAGAAUAACCAAGCAAAAAGAAUUUUAGCUUGCCUUCCCGAAACCUAAGCGAGCUACUUGCGAGCAGCUACUUAUGAGCGAACCCGUCUCUGUUGCAAAAGAGUGGGAUGACUUGCUAGUAGAGGUGAAAAGCCAAUCGAGCUAGGUGAUAGCUGGUUGCCCGAGAAACGAAUCUAAGUUCCCUCUUGGUUGUCCUCCUUCCCGGACAUUAAACCCAAGCCCUACGUAGCAAACCAAGAGCUAUUUAAAGGAGGUACAGCUCCUUUAAAAAAGAACACAAUCUUCCCUAGAGGAUAACUGUCAACCCAUACAUCCGUAAACUGUAGGCCUUAAAGCAGCCACCAACAAAGAAUGCGUCAAAGCUCCUUACACAAAAAUAUAGACAUAACAUGACUCCCUUACCAUUAUCCGGCUAACCUAUCACAAUAGGAGAAUCAAUGCUAAAAUGAGUAACCAGGGACACCCCCUCUCAAGCGCAAACUUACAUCCCAACAUUAUUAACAAACCUCAAAAUAAUACCUCAACUCCAACAAGAUCAAGAUAUUGCAUUACACCUUGUUACCCCAACUCAGGAGCGCCUACUAGAACGAUUAAAAUCUGCAAAAGGAACUAGGCAAUUCCAGGGUCCGACUGUUUACCAAAAACAUAGCCUUCAGCCAAUCAAGUAUUGAAGGUGAUGCCUGCCCAGUGACACAACGUUUAACGGCCGCGGUAUCCUAACCGUGCGAAGGUAGCGCAAUCAAUUGUCCCAUAAAUCGGGACUUGUAUGAAUGGCUAAACGAGAUCCUAACUGUCUCUUGUGGAUAAUCAGUGAAAUUGAUCUUCCUGUGCAAAAGCAGGAAUAUAAACAUAAGACGAGAAGACCCUGUGGAACUUCAAAAUCAACGGCCACCACACACGAAACCAAAACCUACCUAGGCCCACUAUCAAUAGACACUGGCCCACAUUUUUCGGUUGGGGCGACCUUGGAGAAAAACAGACCCUCCAAAAACAAGACCACACCUCUUAACUAAGAGCAACCCCUCAACGUACUAAUAGUACCCAGACCCAAUACAAUUGACCAAUGGACCAAGCUACCCCAGGGAUAACAGCGCAAUCUCCUCCAAGAGCCCUCAUCGACGAGGAGGUUUACGACCUCGAUGUUGGAUCAGGACAUCCUGAUGGUGCAGCCGCUAUCAAGGGUUCGUUUGUUCAACGAUUAAUAGUCCUACGUGAUCUGAGUUCAGACCGGAGCAAUCCAGGUCGGUUUCUAUCUAUGACAAACUUCCCCUAGUACGAAAGGACCGGGAAAGUAGGGCCAAUACUACAAGCACGCCCCCUCUCAAGUAAUGAACACAACUAAAUUACUAAAAGACCACCCAACCCUAAUCCUAGAAAAGGAUCG